Non-coding RNA from Pelobates cultripes (western spadefoot toad), 249 nucleotides. Lineage: Eukaryota; Metazoa; Chordata; Amphibia; Anura; Pelobatidae. The record is from the annotation of a GenBank genome assembly.
CUUUGACUUAUGUCAUAAAACAAGCAUUUAUAAAACCAGUAAAUUUUGAAUCUUCCCCAUUUUAACACUACCUGCCCUACAACAAAACCCACCUUUUGAAGAACGAUACCAAUUUAUUAUUACCCAUUAACAUUUUAUUGCUUAUAUAAAUGUUCACCAUUGAGCACAUGCAUUACCAGUUGGGAAACCUUGGCCUAAAGUAGGCACAUACCCACCCUUAUAAUAAUGAACAACUCAAACCAUGUUUUA